UGGGGGAUAUUGCACAAUGGGCGAAAGCCUGAUGCAGCGACGCCGCGUGGGGGAUGAAGGCCUUCGGGUUGUAAACUUCUUUUGCUCUGAACAAGGCAUGCUUUUGGGGUGUGUUGAGUGUAGGGGUUGAUUAGCGCCGGCUAACUACGUGCCAGCAGCCGCGGUAAUACGUAGGGCGCGAGCGUUGUCCGGAAUUAUUGGGCGUAAAGGGCUUGUAGGUGGCUGGUUGCGUCUGUCGUGAAAGCUCAUGGCUUAACUGUGGGUUUGCGGUGGGUACGGGCUGGCUUGAGUGCAGUAGGGGAGGCUGGAAUUCCUGGUGUAGCGGUGGAAUGCGCCGAUAUCAGGAGGAAUACCGGUGGCGAAGGCGGGUCUCUGGGCUGUUACUGACGCUGAGGAGCGAAAGCGUGGGGAGCGAACAGG
RNAcentral lists this ribosomal RNA (420 nucleotides) under Fusobacteriota bacterium. Its description in RNAcentral is "Fusobacteria bacterium partial 16S ribosomal RNA". It matches the Rfam family "Bacterial small subunit ribosomal RNA", at positions 355 to 776 of the family's 1533-position model. Lineage: Bacteria; Fusobacteriati; Fusobacteriota. The record is from RNAcentral.